ACAAGGUUUCCGUAGGUGAACCUGCGGAAGGAUCAUUAAUGAAUUUUGAGAGGGGUUGUUGCUGGCUGUUCUGUUUGGGCAGCAUUGUGCACACUCUGAUCAUCAUCCAUCUCACACCUGUGCACACACUGUAGGUAGGAUUUUGGAAUGAGGUCUUUAUUGGCCUUGCUCUGGGGUCCUCUUAUGUCCUCUCACACACUACUCAGUCUUAAGAAUGUCUAUUGUGUGUAACACAUUUUAUAUACAACUUUCAGCAACGGAUCUCUUGGCUCUCGCAUCGAUGAAGAACGCAGCGAAAUGCGAUAAGUAAUGUGAAUUGCAGAAUUCAGUGAAUCAUCGAAUCUUUGAACGCACCUUGCGCUCCUUGGUAUUCCGAGGAGCAUGCCUGUUUGAGUGUCAUGGAAUUAUCAACUUCAUUCAUUUCUGUGAAUGAAGAUUGGAUUUGGAGGGUUUUUGCUGGAUACUUGUGUUCAGCUCCUCUUGAAUGCAUUAGCUUGAGCCUUUUGUGAAGCAGCUUCAGUGUGAUAAUUGUCUACGCUGUUCUGUGAAGCAAUAUUGUAUGGGCCUCAGCUUCCUAAUCGUCCCUUGGGGGACAAUUCAUCUUGACCUUUGACCUCAGAUCAGGUAGGAUUACCCGCUGAACUUAAGCAUAUCAAUA
RNAcentral lists this ribosomal RNA (658 nucleotides) under Fomitopsis albidoides. Its description in RNAcentral is "eukaryotic LSU rRNA". The stretch from base 246 to 399 matches the Rfam family "5.8S ribosomal RNA". Lineage: Eukaryota; Fungi; Basidiomycota; Agaricomycetes; Polyporales; Fomitopsidaceae. The record is from RNAcentral.